AUUGAACGCUAGCGGCAGGCUUAACACAUGCAAGUCGAACGAGUGGCGGACGGGUGAGUAAUGUAUGGGAAACUGCCUGCUGGAGGGGGAUAACUACUGGAAACGGUCGCUAAUACCGCAUACCAUCGGAUGUGCCCAGAUGGGAUUAGCUAGUAGGUGGGGUAAAGGCUCACCUAGGCGACGAUCCCUAGCUGGUCUGAGAGGAUGACCAGCCACACUGGAACUGAGACACGGUCCAGACUCCUACGGUAGGCAGCAGUGGGGAAUAGUGGACAAUUGGCGAAAGCCUGAUGCAGCCAUGCCGCGUGUAUGAAGAAGGCCUUCGGGUUGUAAAGUACUUUCAGCGGGGAGGCGUUACCCGCAGAAUAAGCACCGGCUAACUCCGUGCCAGCAGCCGCGGUAAUAC
This 406-nucleotide ribosomal RNA is filed under the name uncultured bacterium. RNAcentral describes it as "partial 16S ribosomal RNA". It matches the Rfam family "Bacterial small subunit ribosomal RNA", at positions 30 to 526 of the family's 1533-position model. The record is from RNAcentral.